AAUGAACGCUGGCGGCGCGCCUAAUACAUGCAAGUCGAGCGAGAAGACGUAGCAAUACGUUUGUAAAGCGGCGAACGGGUGAGGAAUACAUGGGUAACCUACCCUCGAGUGGGGAAUAACUAGCCGAAAGGUUAGCUAAUACCGCGUACGCUUCUUGGACUUCGGUUCAGGGAGGAAAGCGAUGCCGAGGGUAUCGCGCUCUUGGAUGGGCUCAUGUCCUAUCAGCUUGNGGUGAGGUAACGGCUCACCAAGGCUUCGACGGGUAGCUGGUCUGAGAGGACGAUCAGCCACACUGGCACUGCGACACGGGCCAGACUCCUACGGGGAGGCAGCAGUAAGGAAUAUUGCGCAAUGGGCGAAAGCCUGACGCAGCGACGCCGCGUGGGGGAUGAA
RNAcentral lists this ribosomal RNA (393 nucleotides) under uncultured bacterium. Its description in RNAcentral is "bacterial SSU rRNA". It matches the Rfam family "Bacterial small subunit ribosomal RNA", at positions 29 to 412 of the family's 1533-position model. The record is from RNAcentral.